UGGGGAAUAUUGCACAAUGGGCGCAAGCCUGAUGCAGCCAUGCCGCGUGUAUGUAGAAGGCCUUCGGGUUGUAAAGUACUUUCAGCGGGGAGGAAGGGAGUAAAGUUAAUACCUUUGCUCAUUGACGUUACCCGCAGAAGAAGCACCGGCUAACUCCGUGCCAGCAGCCGCGGUAAUACGGAGGGUGCAAGCGUUAAUCGGAAUUACUGGGCGUAAAGCGCACGCAGGCGGUUUGUUAAGUCAGAUGUGAAAUCCCCGGGCUCAACCUGGGAACUGCAUCUGAUACUGGCAAGCUUGAGUCUCGUAGAGGGGGGUAGAAUUCCAGGUGUAGCGGUGAAAUGCGUAGAGAUGUGGAGGAAUACCGGUGGCGAAGGCGGCCCCCUGGACAAAGACUGACGCUCAGGUGCGAAAGCGUGGGGAGCAAACAGG
This 429-nucleotide ribosomal RNA is filed under the name Chloroflexota bacterium. Its description in RNAcentral is "Chloroflexi bacterium partial 16S ribosomal RNA". It matches the Rfam family "Bacterial small subunit ribosomal RNA", at positions 355 to 776 of the family's 1533-position model. The record is from RNAcentral. Lineage: Bacteria; Bacillati; Chloroflexota.